RNAcentral lists this ribosomal RNA (527 nucleotides) under uncultured Lyngbya sp. Its description in RNAcentral is "bacterial SSU rRNA". It matches the Rfam family "Bacterial small subunit ribosomal RNA", at positions 217 to 759 of the family's 1533-position model. Lineage: Bacteria; Bacillati; Cyanobacteriota; Cyanophyceae; Oscillatoriales; Microcoleaceae. The record is from RNAcentral.
GCCUGGAGAUGAGCUCGCGUCUGAUUAGCUAGUUGGUGGGGUAAAGGCCUACCAAGGCAACGAUCAGUAGCUGGUCUGAGAGGAUGAUCAGCCACACUGGGACUGAGACACGGCCCAGACUCCUACGGGAGGCAGCAGUGGGGAAUUUUCCGCAAUGGGCGAAAGCCUGACGGAGCAAUACCGCGUGAGGGAGGAAGGCUUUUGGGUUGUAAACCUCUUUUCUUUGGGAAGAAGAUCUGACGGUCCCAAGGGAAUAAACCUCGGCUAACUCCGUGCCAGCCGCCGCGGUAAUACGGAGGAGGCAAGCGUUUUCCGGAAUGAUUGGGCGUAAAGCGUCCGCAGGUGGGCAUUUAAGUCUGUUGUUAAAACCCAAGGCUUAACUCUGGUCAGGGAAUGGAAACUACAAACCUAAAUUUGGGUAGGGGCAAAAGGAAUUCCCGGGUUACCGGUGAAAUGCUUUAAUUUUGGGAAGAAAAUCCUUGGCCAAAGCCCUUUUCUUGCCCUAAACUGACCUUGAGGGGCGAAAG